This 253-nucleotide ribosomal RNA is filed under the name uncultured bacterium. RNAcentral describes it as "partial 16S ribosomal RNA". It matches the Rfam family "Bacterial small subunit ribosomal RNA", at positions 524 to 776 of the family's 1533-position model. The record is from RNAcentral.
UACGUAGGCAGCAAGCGUUGUUCGGAGUUACUGGGCGUAAAGGGUGUGUAGGCGGUUCUCUAAGUCUGGUGUGAAAUCUCCCGGCUCAACUGGGAGGGUGCGCCGGAAACUGGAGGGCUAGAGUACUGGAUGGGAGAGUGGAAUUCCUGGUGUAGCGGUGAAAUGCGUAGAUAUCAGGAGGAACACCUGUGGUGUAGACGGCUCUCUGGACAGUAACUGACGCUGAGACACGAAAGCGUGGGUAGCAAACAGG